UCCACAGGAAGGAGGAUCAUGCCCUAAAAUUUGCACAUCAGACCACUGUAUAAAAGAGUGAACAAGAAAAAUGUGAAGUAGCGAGGUCUUCCCCAGAGAAAGGAAUUGUGAAUCCCAAUUUGCCACAAACAGGAGAAAUACAAUUCCAAAACAGAAAUUAUCUUAAAUGAGGAAGAGAAACUUCAAACUGAAAAUGUCCAUAUGGAUUGUUUUGACCACAUAAAUGCUUUUCCUCAACUUUUAUUAAAUUGGAAGAAACAUCGAUUUUUCUCUCACAAGAUGUUUUAAGCUUUAUGUACGGUGUUUCACAGUGUCUAGACAUCUUUGUUGUUUAUUUGUUUGUUCUGUUAGUCUAGAUUUUUCUUCCUUGGAAAUCUUUCAUUACUAAUUUCAUUCUUCUUAUCCACACUCUUCUUUUACUGUUCCUCCUUCUGUCCAUGUUCUUCUUCUCAGUCAAUGGGUCUUCACAUUCUUGAAAUAUUU
This 483-nucleotide long non-coding RNA is filed under the name Anas platyrhynchos platyrhynchos (common mallard). RNAcentral describes it as "lncRNA (ENSAPLG00000029109.1)". The record is from RNAcentral. Lineage: Eukaryota; Metazoa; Chordata; Aves; Anseriformes; Anatidae.